This 205-nucleotide long non-coding RNA is filed under the name Elaeis guineensis (African oil palm). RNAcentral's name for it is "long non-coding RNA (EGUI_LNC037236)". The record is from RNAcentral. Lineage: Eukaryota; Viridiplantae; Streptophyta; Magnoliopsida; Arecales; Arecaceae.
UGGGGGCAUCAAGAUGAAGAUUAUAGGAUCAGAUAUGGUACUCCCAAGCCUUGGGAGGUUAGGAGUUGAGCUAUGGAGCUAGCUCAAAGAUUCUAGGGUUGGUUUGGAUCCUAGGAUGAAAGACUGUCAGCCUUCACAGUCUUGAGGUCCAGAGGCUUUGGGCCUUAAGGGGCUAACUUGUAAUAGACAAGGUUUGAGUCCAAGG